This 333-nucleotide ribosomal RNA is filed under the name Salmonella enterica. Its description in RNAcentral is "bacterial SSU rRNA". It matches the Rfam family "Bacterial small subunit ribosomal RNA", at positions 269 to 594 of the family's 1533-position model. Lineage: Bacteria; Pseudomonadati; Pseudomonadota; Gammaproteobacteria; Enterobacterales; Enterobacteriaceae. RNAcentral also lists the same sequence under 3 other names. The record is from RNAcentral.
CAAGGCGACGAUCCCUAGCUGGUCUGAGAGGAUGACCAGCCACACUGGAACUGAGACACGGUCCAGACUCCUACGGGAGGCAGCAGUGGGGAAUAUUGCACAAUGGGCGCAAGCCUGAUGCAGCCAUGCCGCGUGUAUGAAGAAGGCCUUCGGGUUGUAAAGUACUUUCAGCGGGGAGGAAGGUGUUGUGGUUAAUAACCGCAGCAAUUGACGUUACCCGCAGAAGAAGCACCGGCUAACUCCGUGCCAGCAGCCGCGGUAAUACGGAGGGUGCAAGCGUUAAUCGGAAUUACUGGGCGUAAAGCGCACGCAGGCGGUCUGUCAAGUCGGAUG